RNAcentral lists this ribosomal RNA (460 nucleotides) under uncultured bacterium. RNAcentral's name for it is "partial 16S ribosomal RNA". It matches the Rfam family "Bacterial small subunit ribosomal RNA", at positions 338 to 795 of the family's 1533-position model. The record is from RNAcentral.
CCUACGGGCGGCUGCAGUGAGGAAUAUUGGUCAAUGGGCGCGAGCCUGAACCAGCCAAGUAGCGUGAAGGAUGACUGCCCUACGGGUUGUAAACUUCUUUUAUAAAGGAAUAAAGUGAGGCAAGUGUGCCUUUUUGUAUGUACUUUAUGAAUAAGGAUCGGCUAACUCCGUUCCAGCAGCCGCGGUAAUACGGAGGAUCCGAUCGUUAUCCGGAUUUAGUGGGUUUAAAGGGAGCGUAGAUGGGUUGUUAAGUCAGUAGUGAAAGUUUGCGGUUCAACCGUAAAAUUGCAAUUGAUACUGGCAGGCUUGAGUACAGUUGAGGUAAGCGGAAUUCGUGGUGUAGCGGUGAAAUGCGUAGAUAUCACGAAGAACUCCGAUGGCGAAGGCAGCUUACUAGACUGCCACUGACGUUGAUGCUCGAAAGUGUGGGUAGCAAACAGGAUUAGAUACCCGAGUAGUC